GUAAGGAAUAUUGGACAAUGGACGCAAGUCUGAUCCAGCCAUGCCGCGUGAAGGAUUAAGGUCCUCUGGAUUGUAAACUUCUUUUAUAAGGGACGAAAAAAGGCUUUUCUAAGUCGUCUGACGGUACCUUAUGAAUAAGCACCGGCUAACACCGUGCCAGCAGCCGCGGUAAUACGGAGGGUGCAAGCGUUAUCCGGAUUCACUGGGUUUAAAGGGUGCGUAGGCGGGCAGGUAAGUCAGUGGUGAAAUCCUAGAGCUUAACUCUAGAACUGCCAUUGAUACUAUCUGUCUUGAAUAUUGUGGAGGUAAGCGGAAUAUGUCAUGUAGCGGUGAAAUGCUUAGAUAUGACAUAGAACACCUAUUGCGAAGGCAGCUUACUACGCAUAUAUUGACGCUGAGGCACGAAAGCGUGGGGAUCAAACAGGAUUAGAUACCCUGGUAGUCC
RNAcentral lists this ribosomal RNA (445 nucleotides) under uncultured bacterium. RNAcentral's name for it is "partial 16S ribosomal RNA". It matches the Rfam family "Bacterial small subunit ribosomal RNA", at positions 354 to 796 of the family's 1533-position model. The record is from RNAcentral.